UACGUAGGGGGCAAGCGUUGUCCGGAUUUAUUGGGCGUAAAGAGCGUGUAGGCGGCCAGACAAGUCUGCUGUGAAAACUCGAGGCUCAACCUCGAGCUGUCGGUGGAAACUGUCUGGCUAGAGUCCGGAAGAGGAGAGUGGAAUUCCUGGUGUAGCGGUGAAAUGCGCAGAUAUCAGGAAGAACACCCGUGGCGAAAGCGGCUCUCUGGGACGGUACUGACGCUGAGACGCGAAAGCGUGGGGAGCAAACGGG
This 253-nucleotide ribosomal RNA is filed under the name uncultured bacterium. RNAcentral describes it as "partial 16S ribosomal RNA". It matches the Rfam family "Bacterial small subunit ribosomal RNA", at positions 524 to 776 of the family's 1533-position model. The record is from RNAcentral.